GUCUGUCCAGGCACUGCCAAUGGUUGGUAGGGGCUGGUGAGGUCAGACCUGGCACUGUCAAUGGUUGGUAGGGGCUGGUGAGGUCUGUCCUGGUACUGCCAAUGUUUGAAAGGGGCUGGUGAGGUCUGUCCUGGAACUGCCAAUGGUUGGAAUGGGCUGGUGGGGUCUGUCCUGGCACUGCCACUGGUUGGAAUGGGCUGGUGAAGUAGGUCCUCGCACUGCCAUUGGUUGGAAUGGGCUGGUGAGGUCUAUCCUGGCACUGCCAAUGGUUGGAAUGGGCUGGUGAGGUCUGUCCUGGCACUGCCAAUGGUGGAAGGGGCUAGUAAGGUCUGUUCUGGUACUGUCAAUGGUUGGUAGGGACUGGUGAGGUCUGUCCUGGUACUGCCAAUGGUUGGUAGGGGCUGGUGAGGUCAGUCCUG
This is a non-coding RNA of Pelobates cultripes (western spadefoot toad), 419 nucleotides long. NCBI's taxonomy places the organism in Eukaryota, Metazoa, Chordata, Amphibia, Anura, Pelobatidae. The record is from the annotation of a GenBank genome assembly.